GACGAACGCUGGCGGCGUGCCUAAUACAUGCAAGUAGAACGCUGAAGGAGGAGCUUGCUCUUCUGGAUGAGUUGCGAACGGGUGAGUAACGCGUAGGUAACCUGCCUGGUAGCGGGGGAUAACUAUUGGAAACGAUAGCUAAUACCGCAUAACAGUAGAUGUUGCAUGACAUUUACUUAAAAGGUGCAAUUGCAUCACUACCAGAUGGACCUGCGUUGUAUUAGCUAGUUGGUGGGGUAACGGCUCACCAAGGCGACGAUACAUAGCCGACCUGAGAGGGUGAUCGGCCACACUGGGACUGGGACACGGCCCAGACUCCUACGGGAGGCAGCAGUAGGGAAUCUUCGGCAAUGGACGGAAGUCUGACCGAGCAACGCCGCGUGAGUGAAGGAGGUUUUCGGAUCGUAAAGCUCUGUUGUGAGAGAAGAACGAGUGUGAGGGUGGAAAGUUCACACUGUGACGGUAUCUUACCAGAAAGGGACGGCUAACUACGUG
This 495-nucleotide ribosomal RNA is filed under the name uncultured bacterium. RNAcentral's name for it is "partial 16S ribosomal RNA". It matches the Rfam family "Bacterial small subunit ribosomal RNA", at positions 28 to 507 of the family's 1533-position model. The record is from RNAcentral.